Molecule: ribosomal RNA, 344 nt
Filed under: uncultured fungus
Lineage: Eukaryota; Fungi
Description: SSU rRNA
Rfam family: Eukaryotic small subunit ribosomal RNA
Source: RNAcentral
GGUUCAUUCAAAUUUCUGCCCUAUCAACUUUCGAUGGUAGGAUAGUGGCCUACCAUGGUAUCAACGGGUAACGGGGAAUUAGGGUUCGAUUCCGGAGAGGGAGCCUGAGAAACGGCUACCACAUCCAAGGAAGGCAGCAGGCGCGCAAAUUACCCAAUCCCGACCGGGGAGGUAGUGACAAUAAAUACUGAUACAGGGCUCUUUUGGGUCUUGUAAUUGGAAUGAGUACAAUUUAAACCUCUUAACGAGGAACAAUUGGAGGGCAAGUCUGGUGCCAGCAGCCGCGGUAAUUCCAGCUCCAAUAGCGUAUAUUAAAGUUGUUGCAGUUAAAAAGCUCGUAGUUG